AUGGAUGUGAUGAUGCUUUCCCCAAAUAAUCAAAGCUGAAAUUAUCGAGCACCAUUCUCAAUUCUCAUUUAUUUGAGAAAUCCAAGCUAGAAAUUUUCUGAUCCAU
Small nucleolar RNA from Impatiens glandulifera, 106 nucleotides. RefSeq annotates it as small nucleolar RNA Z103. NCBI's taxonomy places the organism in Eukaryota, Viridiplantae, Streptophyta, Magnoliopsida, Ericales, Balsaminaceae. The transcript has a single exon. The record is from RefSeq and is a predicted model, not a curated record.